Molecule: ribosomal RNA, 393 nt
Filed under: uncultured bacterium
Lineage: Bacteria
Description: partial 16S ribosomal RNA
Rfam family: Bacterial small subunit ribosomal RNA
Source: RNAcentral
AUACGGAGGAUGCGAGCGUUAUCCGGAUUUAUUGGGUUUAAAGGGUGCGUAGGCCGUGCGUUAAGUCAGGGGUGAAAUGCCGUCGCUCAACGACGGAGCUGCCCUUGAUACUGGCGUGCUGGAGUACGGAUGCCGUUGGAGGAAUGAGUGGUGUAGCGGUGAAAUGCUUAGAUAUCACUCAGAACACCGAUUGCGAAGGCAUCUGACGAAUCCGACACUGAGGCGGAGGCAGGAAUGCGUGGGGAUAGACCAGGAUUAGAUCCCCUGGUAUGCCACGCCGUAAACGAUGAUGGCUAAGCGGCGGCGAUAGCCAGCGGGUGGCCAAGCGAAAGCGAUAAGUCAUCCGCCUGGGGAGUACGGCGGCAACGAGGAAACUCAAAGGAAUUGACGGGG